Molecule: ribosomal RNA, 468 nt
Filed under: uncultured bacterium
Lineage: Bacteria
Description: partial 16S ribosomal RNA
Rfam family: Bacterial small subunit ribosomal RNA
Source: RNAcentral
GACGAACGCUGGCGGCGUGCUUAACACAUGCAAGUCGAACGGAAAGGCCCUGCUUUUGUGGGGUGCUCGAGUGGCGAACGGGUGAGUAACACGUGAGUAACCUGCCCUUGACUUUGGGAUAACUUCAGGAAACUGGGGCUCAUACCGGAUAGGAGCUCCUGCUGCAUGGUGGGGGUUGGUAAGUUUCGGCGGUUGGGGAUGGACUCGCGGCUUAUCAGCUUGUUGGUGGGGUAGUGGCUUACCAAGGCUUUGACGGGUAGCCGGCCUGAGAGGGUGACCGGCCACAUGGGGACUGAGAUACGGACCAGACUCCUACGGGAGGCAGCAGUGGGGAAUAUUGCACAAUGGGCGGAAGCCUGAUGCAGCAACGCCGCGUGCGGGAUGACGGCCUUCGGGUUGUAAACCGCUUUCGCCUGUGACGAAGCGUGAGUGACGGUAAUGGGUAAAGAAGCACCGGCUAACUACGUG